This 208-nucleotide ribosomal RNA is filed under the name uncultured bacterium. Its description in RNAcentral is "partial 16S ribosomal RNA". It matches the Rfam family "Bacterial small subunit ribosomal RNA", at positions 568 to 774 of the family's 1533-position model. The record is from RNAcentral.
CGCGUAGGCGGCUUUAUAAGUCUGGAGUGAAAGUCCUCUUUUCAAGGGAGGAAUUGCUUUGGAAACUAUAGAGCUUGAGUGCAGGAGAGGUUAUCGGAAUUCCCGGUGUAGCGGUGAAAUGCGUAGAUAUCGGGAGGAACAUCGGUGGCGAAGGCGGGUAACUGGACUGCAACUGACGCUGAGGCGCGAAAGCGCGGGGAAGCAAACA